CCUACGGGAGGCUGCAGUGAGGAAUAUUGGUCAAUGGACGAGAGUCUGAACCAGCCAAGUAGCGUGAAGGUUGACUGCCCUAUGGGUUGUAAACUUCUUUUAUAUGGGAAUAAAAUGUUCCACGUGUGGGAUUUUGUAUGUACCAUAUGAAUAAGUAUCGGCUAACUCCGUGCCAGCAGCCGCGGUAAUACGGAGGAUCCGAGCGUUAUCCGGAUUUAUUGGGUUUAAAGGGAGCGUAGGUGGAUUGUUAAGUCAGUUGUGAAAGUUUGCGGCUCAACCGUAAAAUUGCAGUUGAAACUGGCAGUCUUGAGUACAGUAGAGGUGGGCGGAAUUCGUGGUGUAGCGGUGAAAUGCUUAGAUAUCACGAAGAACUCCGAUUGCGAAGGCAGUUCACUGGACUGCAACUGACACUGAGGCUCGAAAGUGUGGGUAUCAAACAGGAUGAGAUACCCCAGUAGUC
This 460-nucleotide ribosomal RNA is filed under the name uncultured bacterium. Its description in RNAcentral is "partial 16S ribosomal RNA". It matches the Rfam family "Bacterial small subunit ribosomal RNA", at positions 338 to 795 of the family's 1533-position model. The record is from RNAcentral.